RNAcentral lists this ribosomal RNA (712 nucleotides) under uncultured bacterium. Its description in RNAcentral is "bacterial SSU rRNA". It matches the Rfam family "Bacterial small subunit ribosomal RNA", at positions 104 to 810 of the family's 1533-position model. The record is from RNAcentral.
GGGUGAGUAACGCGUAUGCAACCUGCCCGUUUCAGCGGGAUAACCCGGAGAAAUCCGGCCUAAUACCGCAUGUGGCCGAGGGGAGGCAUCUUCUUUCGGCCAAAGGAGGCGACUCCGGAGACGGAUGGGCAUGCGUGACAUUAGCUUGUUGGCGGGGUAACGGCCCACCAAGGCGACGAUGUCUAGGGGUUCUGAGAGGAAGGUCCCCCACACUGGUACUGAGACACGGACCAGACUCCUACGGGAGGCAGCAGUGAGGAAUGUUGGUCAACGGGCGAGAGCCUGAACCAGCCAAGUCGCGUGAAGGAUGACGGCCCUACGGGUUGUAAACUUCUUUUGUCAGGGAGCAAUUGGGUCCACGUGUGGGCUUAGCGAGAGUACCUGAAGAAAAAGCAUCGGCUAACUCCGUGCCAGCAGCCGCGGUAAUACGGAGGAUGCGAGCGUUAUCCGGAUUUAUUGGGUUUAAAGGGUGCGUAGGCGGAAUAUCAAGUCAGCGGUAAAAAUUCGGGGCUCAACCCCGUCGUGCCGUUGAAACUGAUGUUCUUGAGUGGGCGAGAAGUAUGCGGAAUGCGUGGUGUAGCGGUGAAAUGCAUAGAUAUCACGCAGAACUCCGAUUGCGAAGGCAGCAUACCGGCGCCCAACUGACGCUGAAGCACGAAAGCGUGGGUAUCGAACAGGAUUAGAUACCCUGGUAGUCCACGCAGUAAACGAU